This 468-nucleotide ribosomal RNA is filed under the name uncultured bacterium. RNAcentral describes it as "partial 16S ribosomal RNA". It matches the Rfam family "Bacterial small subunit ribosomal RNA", at positions 28 to 507 of the family's 1533-position model. The record is from RNAcentral.
GACGAACGCUGGCGGCGUGCUUAACACAUGCAAGUCGAACGGAAAGGCCCUGCUUUUGUGGGGUGCUCGAGAGCCGAACGGGUGAGUAACACGUGAGUAACCUGCCCUUGACUUUGGGAUAACUUCACGAAACUGGGGCUAUUACCGGAUAUGAGCUCCUGCUGCAUGGUGUGGGUUGGAAAGUUUCGGCGGUUGGGGAUGGACUCGCGGCUUAUCAGCUUGUUGGUCGGGUAGUGGCUUACGAAGGCUUUGACGGGUAGCCGGCCUGAGAGGGUGACCGGCCACAUGGGGACUGAGAUACGGCCCAGAAUCCUACGGGAGGCAGCAGUGGGGAAUAUUGCACAAUGGGCGGAAGCCUGAUGCAGCAACGCCGCGUGCGGGAUGACGGCCUUCGGGUUGUAAACCGCUUUCGCCUGUGACGAAGCGUGAGUGACGGUAAUGGGUAAAGAAGCACCGGCUAACUACGUG